CCUACGGGAGGCAGCAGUGAGGAAUAUUGGACAAUGGGCGCAAGCCUGAUCCAGCCAUGCCGCGUGCAGGAAGAAGCAUCUAUGGUGUGUAAACUGCUUUUGUACGGGAAGAAACACUCCGACGUGUCGGAGCUUGACGGUACCGUAAGAAUAAGGAUCGGCUAACUCCGUGCCAGCAGCCGCGGUAAUACGGAGGAUCCAAGCGUUAUCCGGAAUCAUUGGGUUUAAAGGGUCCGUAGGCGGUUUAAUAAGUCAGUGGUGAAAGCCCAUCGCUUAACGAUGGAACGGCCAUUGAUACUGUUAGACUUGAAUUAUUGGGAAGUAACUAGAAUAUGUAGUGUAGCGGUGAAAUGCUUAGAUAUUACAUGGAAUACCAAUUGCGAAGGCAGGUUACUAUCAAUAUAUUGACGCUGAUGGACGAAAGCGUGGGGAGCGAACAGGAUUAGAUACCCUGGUAGUCCACGCCGUAAACGAUGGAUACUAGCUGUUCGGAGCAAUCUGAGUGGCUAAGCGAAAGUGAUAAGUAUCCACCUGGGGAUACGUUCGCAAGAANAGAACGACGAAGAAGUAGACGACGUGAGACGUAGACGACGGACGACGACGAGGGAGGAGG
This 613-nucleotide ribosomal RNA is filed under the name uncultured bacterium. RNAcentral's name for it is "bacterial SSU rRNA". It matches the Rfam family "Bacterial small subunit ribosomal RNA", at positions 338 to 954 of the family's 1533-position model. The record is from RNAcentral.